Molecule: non-coding RNA, 4799 nt
Organism: Meleagris gallopavo (turkey)
Lineage: Eukaryota; Metazoa; Chordata; Aves; Galliformes; Phasianidae
Source: RefSeq, a predicted model, not a curated record
GAUGUAUCAGGUAACAGAAAUAUCACUCCUGAGUCAUGGUAGUGUAUUUAUGCUUUUCCAAUUUCUCUUGUUUAAAUGAGACAUGGACAAGGUAGCAAAAGGGAAAUGGAUCUGAUGUGUAGAUAAAAAUAUUUAUAUAAGAUGUUACCUUUGGCACUAAAUUCACUGGCACCAAAAUUACUCAUAAUGCUGGAAUCCAUUUCUUUUCACCAUGAUUUUUUUUUUUGUUUCCAUUUAAUUGGGCGUGGAUUUCUUGUUUCUGUUUUUCAUUUCUUGCAGUCAGUAGCAGGUCAUUGAUUUUGUAUGGUGCAUUUUCUGGAAUUCCAGGAAGUACCCCAAGGACCCAAAUAUCUUCUCGGGUGUGAUGCUGCAGGCAGCUGCCUCUGCUUACAGCAGAUUGUGGUUUUCUUCCCUGCAAAUCUUCACUGAAACUGUCAUUCUUGCACAAGCCCUGGUAUGUUAGCAAAAGAAACAUCAACUCUGAAAGCACAAGUGUUUUCCCAUUUAAGAUGAGAUGAAGCAGUGAAUUAAGCAGAAUACAAAUUUUUGCUUGUUUUCUCAUAGAAACAGAGCACGUGAAUCUUACUGGCAGGGCACAUGCUGAUCUAUUCCCCCUUCCUUUUUCAUACCAUUCAUUAAUUUUUAUAUGACGGACCAAUUUUAACUAUUUUACACACACAAAAAAAGCACUCAGAAGUCUCUUGAAAGAGUACUGCCAUUGGCCUCAUUUUACAGAUAGAGUCAUAGAGUAGCUUGGGUUUAAAUGAACCUUAAAGCCCCUCCAGUUCCAACUCCCUGCCGUGGGCUGGUUGCCCCCGACCAGCUCAGGCUGCCCAGGACCCAUCCAACCUGACCUCGAGCACCUCCAGGGAUGGGGCACCCACAGCUCUCUGGGCAGCACAAGGGUGUCACUGCCCUCUGAAUAAAUAAUUCCUUCCUAAUAUCUAAUCUAAAUCUCCUCUCUUUCAGUUUAAAAGUUUCCUCUUGUCCUAUCACUACGGCACCCGACAAAGCAUGCCUCCCCAGUUUCCCUGUAUGCCCCUUUAAGUACUGGAAGGCCACAAUCAGGUCUCCCCGUAGCCUCCUUUUCUCCAAGCUGAACAAACCCAGCUCCCUAUCUGUUCCUCAUAGGAGAGGUGCUUCAGCCCUCAUCUUAGUGGCCCUCCUUUGGUCUUGAUCCAACAGCUUCGCAUCCUUCCUGUGCUGAGGGCUCCAGAACUGGACACAAUAAUGGGGACCCAAAAGGGCAGAAUAGAGGUGGACAAUCCCCUCCCUCUCCCUGCUACCACCCUCUGUUGAUGCACCCAGGAUGAUAUUGGUCUUCCAGGCUGCAAGCACACACUGCUGGCUCAUACCCAUCUUGACCAUCAGGACCCCUAAGUCCUUCUCCAUAGGGCUGCUCUCAAUCCAUAUCAAACAACAGAAGCACUGGGCCUUUCUGGCUCAUACUGUCUGUUUUUUUCUCCUCUCCUUCAUCCAUCUUCUCAUGGUCAUUCCCAAUCCAGAUGUGAGCACUGCUAUGUCCAUCCAAUAGGUGACAUCAAUUAACCUCCCCAACAGUAUUCCCUCAUCUAGCAGUUGGCAACCCUGUCCAUGGCAGGAUGUUGGAGCUCAAUGAUCUUUAAGGCACUUUCCUACUUAAGUCAUUCUAUGACUGUAUGAUUCUAUUGCUCAGUAUUUCAGUCCGGCUUCUGUCUGUGUCAAUGUACCAACCAGGGAAGCUUUUUAUAUACACUUUUAUUUCAUACUGUAUACUAGAGAGCAGCAUGUUGGAAGGUUGUUGUAACACUGAAUGUGAGGGAGCCCUGCAAAGAUUUUAGAUUAUUUCAAACUCUUAUGGGAAUACAUAAAGGAAUUUUAUAUAUUGCUGAGCUAAGCAGUAACUGGCAAAUAGUUUCCUGUUUGAGGGAAUGGAGAUAUAUGUACCUACUUUCUUUCAGUAUUACUCACUGAGCUACAUAGGGAAUAGCACAAGUUUUCCAUUCUGCCUCAGUUUUGAAAUUGCAAUUUUUGUUAAUCUCUUUUAAGCUAUGUUAAUUAACCCAACUUCACUGACUUUGAUCCACUACUCCACACUAUUUCCAAAUAAGAUAAAAUGUGAAUGCUUCUCAUUAUGUUUGUUUACGAAAUUGGUGAUACUGAUGUAUGAAUUUUGCAGUGAAUUUAUCUGCUGUAUUUUACCUGCUUCACAUCAGAAAUAUCUAAGAACAUUCCGGAAGAGCAAACUCCUUAAAUUUACUCUGGUGUCUCUGUGACUCCAGUGCCCUUGCAUCAUCAGCUUGCUCUGAUUCUUAAUUUAUUAAGAGCCAAAGCAAAUUAUAAAAGUAUACUGAUCGCCCAACUGCCCGUGAUAGCAAAUUUCCAUGGUGGUAGCUAAAGGAGCUUACAAUAUAACACAAGCAAUGACAGACAGUCCAGCAGAGGUGAGCUCUGAAGAAGUAGAAGAGGGUGGGCACAGUGAUGUUUGACCAAUCCAAGUAAAUCUGUGCAUAUAAAGAUCUCAAAGAACUCUGUUAUCCUCAAGGAAAUUAACCACUAUUUUUGAGUGCUGGGAAAUGAAAUUCCAAGCCAUGUAUGACUCUACAGCACAGUUUUCCAUCUGGUUACAGAGCCAUGCACUGAGAUAAAAGCAGCAAAGCUAAGUCGGUCUCCAUUCUUCAGUGUUCCUGAACCCCUGAAAGCUGUGCCCUGGCCUCCUGUCCAUGGCCCUCCUGUGCUAUAUGAUGUCAUUCUGACCAAGACAAGUGUUCUGCCAUCCUUCAACUGUUAGCUUGUGAGAUGAAAUAGCCAACUCCCUGUGUUUGUUGAGUCAGUUUCUUUACAGCCAGAGGUUGUUUUCUUACCUCACAGGCAGGAUGCCUGCUUCUCAUCUGGUCUCUACUCCAUUUGAUUUGUUUUACUCGUAGCCCUACCAUGAAUUAAAACUUCCCUGGGUUUAGUUCUGAAUCACUUGAAUGCACAAAUCUUUCUGGGAGUGGUUCACAGGGAAGGCCAACAGCAUAACUGAAAAUUAAUUAAAUGGGCGUAGGUGUCUUGCUGUGUGUGAGCAGGAAUGAGGGGAAGGUAAGCAUUUCUAAUGGAAUAGGUUCUUCUUCAUAUUGGAAUAGUUAGCAUAAUCAGAAUUGUGAUGGUUUGCUUGCCAUGCAGAUAGCAAGUGAAUGGUUCCGUAGAAACAUGGUAACAAUGAUCAGCUCUGUACAUCUGUCUAAGUUUUCUGUGCAUUGUAUUUAUUUCAUUGCUUUCUUUCUCAGACAACUUUUCCCCCAGUACAUCUGUACUGAAGACAUCUCAUUUGGCCAAUUUGGUCAACACAAACAUAUGAAUGACAGAUUUUUCUAUGUGAUUGAUUGAUUCUAAUAUUCAAAAGUCUUAUUAAAGGAAAUAUGUCACAUACACAUCUCUGAUUUUAAACAUGUCUUUGGCUGAAACACUCAUGAUACUUCAUGGAAAACCUAGAAGAUGAACUUAAAGUAGAUAAAUCCUAAGAAGAGGUAGUAUUGCUCUUCUUUUCACUCUUGUUGUCUACUUCUGGACAUUGACUAUAUUAGUAUUUAAGUAAGAGUAAAAGACAGGAAAUCAGGAAGAAAAUCAAAGACAUCCCAAAUCCACUCUUACAUUAACAGAAUACCCUGAAAGGAAAAUCAUGCCAAUAGCUGCAUCUGUGCUUUUUGCAAGAUGGUGAUUAAAAAAAAGACAAAAGAAAUCUCUUCAUUUUGAAGAUAACUUCACAAAGAAAGCAACCAGACAUGGAACCAUCUCCCACACUUCACUGCCAGCGGCGGUUGCAUGCGAUGUCCUUGGAUGCCCAAAAGAUUAGGCAGUAUGAUCCACCUGGCCCAAGUAACAGGGACCAAAGGCAUUUCUCCGUCUACAAAGUUAAGCUCCUGCUCUAUGAAAAUGAAGAAGAAAAACUGAAAGUUUUGCUCUGCACAAAUUAAUAGGGACCUCUGGCUCUUGAGGGGACAAAAUUGUGGAUGAGUCCUCUCAUAUGGCAAUGCAUUAAGAGCAACAAAAAAGUUCAACUUCAGCCAUCAGCCUGCACUACAGGACUGUUUUCAGCCGCCCAGGUUUGCUGCAUCGCUUGCACAUUGGCACUUCUCAACACCUAGGAAAGCUCAAUACUUCUGCUAUGAAGAAUGUGGACAUAAAUACCAACCUUUAUAUUUGUGUCCCUGAAUUGCUUCCACUUGAGGAAAAGGCUAUCUAUUAUUGAAUAAUGUCCUGAAACAUAAUUCAGAGGCAGAAGCAGCAGAAAAAAAAAUCCUGAAAUGGAGGAGAGACUUCUUGAACAUUACUCAUUGGAAUUGUGGCACUAUGUAGAAGCUGCUAUUGAUAUGACACGGCUGAUGUGAUGCAGUACCAAGUGGACAUUCUUCAACAAUUCAGCUCCAUCUACCUUAAAGUCAUUACUAUUCUCUUACUAGGCCACAUUUUCAGGGAAUCACUCAGGAGGUGCCUGAGCUUUCCCAGACCUAAAUUCAUUUCAGCUGCAUAAUUCUUCUGGAGUAAAAGCAAGAGACAGUGUAGUCCAUGAGUUGCUGUGAAGGUGUUAUAACAACACUCCUCACUUUUAAGGGACUCAUGGUGGUAUGUAGGAAUCUAAUUAAUUUCCUACCAUUUAUGAUUUUCCACAUUAUUGUGAACAUUGUUCUGUUUGUGUGUAGGUAUACAAAUUUGCUGUCUUGAAUGUACAGUGUUGCAAGCCACAAAGUCAUUUUAUCUACCAGCUGUUGUUUUAAACGAAGAAAUGUUUUAUAUCAUUUAUAUCAAAAGAUUAUGAGAAAUAUGUUUUCUUGACU